Molecule: ribosomal RNA, 83 nt
Filed under: Aerococcus urinae
Lineage: Bacteria; Bacillati; Bacillota; Bacilli; Lactobacillales; Aerococcaceae
Source: RNAcentral
UCCAUCCCGAACACAGCAGUUAAGCUUCUUAGCGCCGAAUGUAGUUGGGGGUUGCCCCCUGUGAGACUAGGACGUUGCCGUGC